Molecule: ribosomal RNA, 426 nt
Filed under: Acidobacteriota bacterium
Lineage: Bacteria; Pseudomonadati; Acidobacteriota
Description: Acidobacteria bacterium partial 16S ribosomal RNA
Rfam family: Bacterial small subunit ribosomal RNA
Source: RNAcentral
GGAAUUUUGGACAAUGGGGGAAACCCUGAUCCAGCCAUCCCGCGUGUGCGAUGAAGGCCUUCGGGUUGUAAAGCACUUUUGGCAGGAAAGAAACGUCAUGGGUUAAUACCCCGUGAAACUGACGGUACCUGCAGAAUAAGCACCGGCUAACUACGUGCCAGCAGCCGCGGUAAUACGUAGGGUGCAAGCGUUAAUCGGAAUUACUGGGCGUAAAGCGUGCGCAGGCGGUUCGGAAAGAAAGAUGUGAAAUCCCAGAGCUCAACUUUGGAACUGCAUUUUUAACUACCGGGCUAGAGUGUGUCAGAGGGAGGUGGAAUUCCGCGUGUAGCAGUGAAAUGCGUAGAUAUGCGGAGGAACACCGAUGGCGAAGGCAGCCUCCUGGGAUAACACUGACGCUCAUGCACGAAAGCGUGGGGAGCAAACAGG